This 497-nucleotide ribosomal RNA is filed under the name uncultured bacterium. RNAcentral describes it as "partial 16S ribosomal RNA". It matches the Rfam family "Bacterial small subunit ribosomal RNA", at positions 28 to 507 of the family's 1533-position model. The record is from RNAcentral.
GAUGAACGCUGGCGGCGUGCCUAAUACAUGCAAGUCGAGCGAACAGACGAGGAGCUUGCUCCUCUGACGUUAGCGGCGGACGGGUGAGUAACACGUGGAUAACCUACCUAUAAGACUGGGAUAACUUCGGGAAACCGGAGCUAAUACCGGAUAAUAUAUUGAACCGCAUGGUUCAAUAGUGAAAGACGGUUUUGCUGUCACUUAUAGAUGGAUCCGCGCCGCAUUAGCUAGUUGGUAAGGUAACGGCUUACCAAGGCAACGAUGCGUAGCCGACCUGAGAGGGUGAUCGGCCACACGGGAACGGAGACACGGUCCAGACUCCUACGAGAGGCAGCAGUAGGGAAUCUUCCGCAAUGGGCGAAAGCCUGACGGAGCAACGCCGCGUGAGUGAUGAAGGUCUUCGGAUCGUAAAACUCUGUUAUUAGGGAAGAACAAAUGUGUAAGUAACUAUGCACGUCUUGACGGUACCGAAUCAGAAAGCCACGGCUAACUACGUG